UGAUACCCCACUAUGCUCAGCCGUAAACCUAGACGUGCAACUACAAUUAAACGUCCGCCAGGGUACUACGAGCAUUAGCUUGAAACCCAAAGGACCUGACGGUGCCUCAGACCCCCCUAGAGGAGCCUGUUCUAGAACCGAUAACCCCCGUUAAACCUCACCGCUUCUAGCCACCCCAGCCUAUAUACCGCCGUCGUCAGCUUACCCUGUGAAGGCAAUAAAAGUAAGCAAAAUGGGCACAACCCAGAACGUCAGGUCGAGGUGUAGCGUACGGAGCGGGAAGAAAUGGGCUACAUUUUCUACUAGUAGAACACUACGGACAUGCAACAUGAAAUAGUGCUUGAAGGAGGAUUUAGUAGUAAAAAGGAAUCAGAGUGUCCUUUUGAACCCGGCUCUGAGACGCGUACACACCGCCCGUCCACUCUCCCA
RNAcentral lists this ribosomal RNA (429 nucleotides) under Telestes souffia (vairone). RNAcentral's name for it is "partial 12S ribosomal RNA". It matches the Rfam family "Bacterial small subunit ribosomal RNA", at positions 780 to 1408 of the family's 1533-position model. The record is from RNAcentral. Lineage: Eukaryota; Metazoa; Chordata; Actinopteri; Cypriniformes; Leuciscidae.